RNAcentral lists this long non-coding RNA (658 nucleotides) under Rattus norvegicus (Norway rat). RNAcentral describes it as "long non-coding RNA NONRATT028028". The record is from RNAcentral. Lineage: Eukaryota; Metazoa; Chordata; Mammalia; Rodentia; Muridae.
UUCAUCUCUGUUUUGUUCAACAGGGAUCGGGCUGCCCAGAUAUAUAGAUUACACCCUAUACCUGACAUUCCUCGUCUUACAGGUACCAGGUGAUGCUUCGAUGCUGGGAGGCUGAUCCAGCAGCACGACCCACCUUCAGAGCCCUAGUGCUGGAAGUAGAGCAGGUAGCGUCCUCACUGCUUGGGGACCACUACGUGCAGCUGACCGCAGCUUACGUGAACGUAGGCCCCGGCGCGGUGGAUGAUGGGAGUGUGUUUCCGGAACAGGGGCAGUCCUCGCCCCUGCAUCACAGGAGCACGUCAAGGCCCCGGCCCCUCUCAGAGCCACCUCUGCCCACUUGACUAAAGCCCUAAGUAGGCCACAGGAACUAGACCUGCUAAGUGGCCUUAAGCUAAUUCCAGGCUGCCUCUGGACCUAUGACAAGCUGCAGCACGUAAAAACCUCCACUCUUUAACUUUCCGAGGCUACUGAAGGUGGAAAACGGGGCUGUUUGAGCCCCUCGUUCCAGCAUGAACCAGUGUAAUUUUUGUAGCAUGUAUUUAUUUAAUGUUUGUUUUGUACCUGUUUCUGAAUACGGAGGAUCCAGCAGUGAUCACAGAGAUCCUACAGUGUAAAAUACUAUGAAUGAAUGAAUGAAUGAAUGAACAUUCAAGCACAA